This is a long non-coding RNA of Cicer arietinum (chickpea), 631 nucleotides long. RefSeq lists it as uncharacterized. The record is from RefSeq and is a predicted model, not a curated record. Lineage: Eukaryota; Viridiplantae; Streptophyta; Magnoliopsida; Fabales; Fabaceae.
UGGUGAAUUCUUACAUAGUAAAACACGUGAGGUUUUGGGAGAAUUCAGAUUGCAUGACACAUUGACCAAUGUUGUCAUCCCAACCUACGAUAUCAAGAAAUUCCAUCCAAUUAUAUUCUCAAGCUUUAAGGUGAAGGAAGUUCCCAGCAUAGAUAUAAAAUUGUCGGAAAUAAUCCUUGGGACUUCAGCUGCACCAAUUCAACUACCACCCAUUUACUUUAAGGAUGGUCCUAAUGAAUUCAAUUUGGUUGAUGGUGGUGUGGUUGCAGUUAGUCCGGUUGGCUGAGAUUUUGUACAAGGAAAAACAGCUGCGUUUGAAAAUGAAAUCGAUGGAGGAAAUGUAUUGAAGCUAUUACUUCCCCUUUUCGUUGGUCUCCAAUGAAAUAAAUGACAAAUGCAUAUAUAGACAAAUUUGUACUACAUAUGUUGCAAGUUCUCUCUAUAUGUGUGUUUUUAAUUGAUGUACUUAUGAUGUGAUCUUUUUGUAAUAUUAUUAAAUGUUUCUACUUUGUUGUAUUUCCUCGGAAAUGUAUUCAAUCUUGUUAAUUGUGUGAGUUUCUAAAAUAAGGAUAAGGAUUGGACUACAUUAUGUGUUCCUUGUAAUACUUUUGCUUAUAAAAUAUAAAUUGGA